UACAGAGGGGGCAAGCGUUGUUCGGAAUUACUGGGCGUAAAGGGCGCGUAGGUGGCCUUCUAAGUUGAACGUGAAAUCCCUGGGCUCAACCCAGGAACUGCGUCCAAGACUGGGAGGCUUGAAUCCGGGAGAGGGAUGCGGAAUUCCAGGUGUAGCGGUGAAAUGCGUAGAUAUCUGGAGGAAUACCAGUGGCGAAGGCGGCUUCCUGGCCUGUUCUUGACGCUGAGGCGCGAAAGCUAGGGGAGCAAACGGG
Molecule: ribosomal RNA, 253 nt
Filed under: uncultured bacterium
Lineage: Bacteria
Description: partial 16S ribosomal RNA
Rfam family: Bacterial small subunit ribosomal RNA
Source: RNAcentral